RNAcentral lists this ribosomal RNA (253 nucleotides) under uncultured bacterium. Its description in RNAcentral is "partial 16S ribosomal RNA". It matches the Rfam family "Bacterial small subunit ribosomal RNA", at positions 524 to 776 of the family's 1533-position model. The record is from RNAcentral.
GACAGAGGCCUCAAGCGUUAGGCGGAAUCACUGGGCUUAAAGCGUGUGUAGGCGGAUCGUUAAGUGCCUUGUGAAAUCCCACGGCUUAACUGUGGAACGGCUGGGCAUACUGGCGGUCUUGAGCCAUCUAGGGGCGACUGGAACAAACGGUGGAGCGGUGAAAUGCGUAGAUAUCGCUUGGAACGCCGAAGGUGAAAACAGGCUGCUGGGGUUGCGCCGACGCUGAGACACGAAAGCCAGGGGAGCAAACGGG